This 439-nucleotide ribosomal RNA is filed under the name uncultured Chitinophagaceae bacterium. RNAcentral describes it as "bacterial SSU rRNA". It matches the Rfam family "Bacterial small subunit ribosomal RNA", at positions 348 to 785 of the family's 1533-position model. Lineage: Bacteria; Pseudomonadati; Bacteroidota; Chitinophagia; Chitinophagales; Chitinophagaceae. The record is from RNAcentral.
GCAGCAGUAAGGAAUAUUGGUCAAUGGACGCAAGUCUGAACCAGCCAUGCCGCGUGAAGGAUGAAGGUCCUCUGGAUUGUAAACUUCUUUUAUAUGGGACGAAACCUCUUAUUCUUAAGAGACUGACGGUACCAUAGGAAUAAGCACCGGCUAACUCCGUGCCAGCAGCCGCGGUAAUACGGAGGGUGCAAGCGUUAUCCGGAUUCACUGGGUUUAAAGGGUGCGUAGGAGGGCAGGUAAGUCAGUGGUGAAAUCUUCGAGCUUAACUCGGAAACUGCCGUUGAUACUAUCUGUCUUGAAUACCGUGGAGGUGAGCGGAAUAUGUCAUGUAGCGGUGAAAUGCUUAGAUAUGACAUAGAACACCGAUUGCGAAGGCAGCUCACUACACGAAUAUUGACUCUGAGGCACGAAAGCGUGGGGAUCAAACAGGAUUAGAUAC